RNAcentral lists this ribosomal RNA (654 nucleotides) under uncultured Veillonellaceae bacterium. RNAcentral describes it as "bacterial SSU rRNA". It matches the Rfam family "Bacterial small subunit ribosomal RNA", at positions 17 to 653 of the family's 1533-position model. Lineage: Bacteria; Bacillati; Bacillota; Negativicutes; Veillonellales; Veillonellaceae. The record is from RNAcentral.
UCCUGGCUCAGGACGAACGCUGGCGGCGUGCUUAACACAUGCAAGUCGAACGGAGAUUUUAGCAAUAGAAUCUUAGUGGCGAACGGGUGAGUAACGCGUAGGCAAUCUGCCUUCUAGAUGGGGACAACAUCCCGAAAGGGGUGCUAAUACCGAAUGUUGUACCGUUUCCGCAUGGAGAUGAUACUAAAGGUGGCCUCUGAAUAUGCUACCGCUAGAAGAUGAGCCUGCGUCUGAUUAGCUAGUUGGAGGGGUAACGGCCCACCAAGGCUUCGAUCAGUAGCCGGUCUGAGAGGAUGAACGGCCACACUGGGACUGAGACACGGCCCAGACCCCUACGGGAGGCAGCAGUGGGGAAUCUUCCGCAAUGGACGAAAGUCUGACGGAGCAACGCCGCGUGAGUGAAGAAGGUUUUCGGAUCGUAAAGCUCUUUCGUUAGGGACGAACGUGCUCUUUGUGAAUAAUGAGGAGUAAUGACGGUACCUAAAUAAGAAGCCACGGCUAACUACGUGCCAGCAGCCGCGGUAAUACGUAGGUGGCAAGCGUUGUCCGGAAUUAUUGGGCGUAAAGCGCGCGCAGGCGGGAUAUCAAGUCUGUCUUAAAAGUGCGAGGCUCAACCUCGUGAGGGGACAGAAACUGGUAUUCUUGAGUGUCGGA